CCUCUUCCACCACGACCCCUACCACUUCUGCUACUUCUUGGGCGCCUCGCGCCACGAGUUCUGGAGGCACUACCGGACGUGCCUGCAGAAGCGCCGGAAGCCGUUGGAGUAGAGGAGCCGCAGGCGCCUGCGCAAGCUGUUCGACGACGACGUCGACGACGAGUUCCGCAGCGUCCUGUUCGCCAAGCACACGCUCCUCCGGCUCUUCCGCUACGCGCGGUACCGGUGGAGGUACGGCGGGGACGGCAACGACUUCUUCGAAUUUAGGAUGCAGGUGGUGCGGUUGGAGGCCCAGGCGCGGUUCCGGCGGCAGCGGUACCGCGUGACGCGGCGGUCCUACCUGCACCUCUGCUACUUCCUGAAGCCCGACGGCCGCGACGACGUCCACCGGCGGCUCGACGACUUGCUGGCCGACGGCCUCCGAGCGCUCCGGCGGGCGUCGUAGCAGCCGAGGUGCGUGCGGCGGAAGAAGAAGUUCCUCCGGCGGCUCUUCCUCGUCCUCGUCCUCUUCUACCUCUUACUCGAGGUCCUCGUCCUCCUCCACUUCCUCUUACUCCUUCUUUACUUCUUCUUCCUGCUCGACAGACGGCACCGCCGACGCACCCUCUCGGACACGCGCGACUCGGACAGCGGGUAGAGCCGCGUCCGGCAGCGGUUCUAGCAGAGCGUCGGCGUCGGCGUCGGCGUCGGCGUUAUUAAUUAAAGAGCAGCGCUAAGACAGGCGCUAAAACAUCACUACGUACGAUAGAGCGUACUAGACGGGUACAAGAUCGUCCGAGUUUAAUAACCACAAGGGUCAAGGGGACUAUUAUUUAAUAAAUAAUGUACCAAGGGUCAGUGGCCUCAUCGGUAAAGGGCCUUGUUUUUUAUACACAGCGAGUCCUUUAAGUCGUCGAAAAGUGACGGAGCGGCCUCUUUUGAAACUGGGCAUCCAUCCGCCGCAUCGAAGGUAGCUUUUGCUGCUCCUCCCUAUUCUCGUCGAGGCGCACGCAGGUUAGAAACUCGGUCGAGGCUAGGUUUGCGCAGCGGCAGGCCACUUGCUCGCUCACUAGGUGCGCUCUCACUGGUCGACCACGAACGAACGAAGGCCCUUAGCUUUAGGAGGAGUAGUAGAAGAGGAGAGGGGGUAUAGAGGACAGAGGGAGGCGUAAGUGCGUCGUCGCCGCCGCCGCCGCCGCUGCGUACAGGGACGAACGCAACACGCAGCGCAGGAACAAGUAAGAACUAAGAACUACCUGCCCCCCGUCUCGCAGCGGUUCGCCGUACCGCGCCGGCGCCGGCGGCCGCGGCUCCUCCUGGGACUGGCCGUGGCACGAGGAAGUGGCCGGGUGCUCCGCCGCCUACUAGUGCUGCUGCCGCUGUUCUUCCGCGGAGCGUCCCCGUCGUUGUCCGCGCAGCGGAGGGAGCUGCAGAAGGCACCGGAGUGGCAGCGUGACUACUAUGACCACCUGCCGCGGCCGCCGCUCACCGGCCAGUAGCCCGUGCGCGGCACCGUGCCGACGUUGGAGCGGCUGAAGCAGUACGGGAAGAAGGAGAAGUAGCAGCCGUACCGGUAGGGGGAGAGGGAGUUCUCUUAAGGCCUAGCGCCAGCCCGGCAGUCCUCUCACCAGUAUUCUUGUGACUUCGACGAGAAGACCCCCUAGAACGACGUUCCACCAAUGAGGGUACGAGGCCUACUUGAUUGGAUACCUCAACUGUACUUCGUGUAUUCUACCACACCAUAGGAGGUCUCCUAACGGGAACGUAUGAACCAACAGCGUCAGUAUCUCUAACGCUGCUUUCUGCGCUCCCAAGUCCUGGUCAGUUCAAGUCCGAAGAAGAGUUAAAAGUCCGACAUAGACAGGGUUACCUAACAGCGUACAACGUAAAACGACUAGAUGAACAGGGAACAAAUGCCCUAAAUGCAAGGCCUGACCCUCAAGUGCCACGCUUUACAGCUGUCAGGUUUGAUGCCGUUUCAAAACUGUCACUGUACACCGUGUUCCCCUUUAGACUCGGGAGGAACGUUACGACAUCCAAUGUAACUGGCAUUUUAAGAGCCGUAGUUAGUGGACAUGGUCUUUGGACGUACCUCCUCCGUGUCCCUGACAUGACUACUAAGAGGUGUACUCCCCGGAAAGUUUUCCCUGCGGGGCCGUACCACGCGGAGAGGUAAACUUGGACUUCCCAAUGAUUCGAGUAAAAGUCGCCACAAUUCAUGCUAGUAGCCGCAUGUGAUGCCCGUGGACGAACAAGUAUACUUCUCAGUAUACCUGUCCGAUUUCGUCACCCAGUGGUACCCGCAUCGAGAGGAGGAGGAGCCUUAGUAAGACGUGAAGAGAGUACGCUAAGGAGACUUGUUUGUCGACAUGUGUGAGUCAAUGUAGACGCACUGGCGGCCACGGCGACCGUAGCAGAAGAGGUACGAAAUGAAGGAACUUCUGCAGCACGCGGACGCGAUACAGAAACGCGGCGACGCCACCCAGCCGUACUUGCGCUACGACCACAUGCACUACCGUCGCCGCCCGUAGAAGCUCCCGAAGGAGUUGCCGACCAUGAUGCUGCCCUGGUUGUUGUGUGACCAAAUGACCCACUCCUUCGUGCACAAGCAGGUCCACACCGUGAGCCUCUCCCACCGGUAGGAGGAGAUGCAGGAGCAGCGCGUCUAGGACGAGACCCGCGAGGAGCGGCCGGAGGAGGUGGCCCGGCCGCAGAUGACCUUCGAGAUCGGUGGGUCCUCCCGUAACCACAGUAGUAAACGAACACACAACCUUAACACGUCUUACACACAUUCUUCUCUUCUUUUCUUUCCACCUUUUCGUAAAGUUGUACUAGGGUUCGUCUUCGUACUGAUUCGAAGUUUUUCGAUGUUCCCUACGUGGACUACUCUAGAUACCACGUCACCACUUCGUCUUAAUCAUAUCGGAUACCCUGAUACCCCCUUCUUAAGUAUGUAUUCAUGUUAGAGACAUUUGUUUGUUUUCUGUAAAAUCUCUGAACAUAGUUCAGACAGAGAUUUUGUAGGGUAUUAACAAAUGUCUCCCUCAUCAAUUAUUAGACCUUACAGUAUAAACAAUUGAAUACUUAUCGUGUAACAAUCGAAUACUAAUCGUGCAGGUAAUCGAAUACUAGUAGGUGUCAGACUAGGUUGAAAGGUCUUUAUAUUUGAACAUAGGUCAGACUACGCACAUCAUUCGGUAGAAACUAAAAGACUUUGACAAGUGCUCCGUCUCCUGACAAUCCGUCACAAGGUUCGUUUAGGUUACGGUCGACUCAGUAGAAGGCAACGAUCGUUCGAUGUUUAGUAGUCGAUCUUAGUGCGAUAGUACGAAAAAUAGGUAUAAAAACACUACAUUUGUAGAUAUGCGUUCGUAAAUACGACACUACAAUGUUAGUACACUACUAUG
RNAcentral lists this ribosomal RNA (3386 nucleotides) under Triticum aestivum (bread wheat). RNAcentral's name for it is "partial small subunit ribosomal RNA". Lineage: Eukaryota; Viridiplantae; Streptophyta; Magnoliopsida; Poales; Poaceae. The record is from RNAcentral.